This 1392-nucleotide ribosomal RNA is filed under the name Rhodococcus sp. 1139. RNAcentral describes it as "bacterial LSU rRNA". It matches the Rfam family "Bacterial large subunit ribosomal RNA", at positions 1553 to 2925 of the family's 2925-position model. The record is from RNAcentral. Lineage: Bacteria; Bacillati; Actinomycetota; Actinomycetes; Mycobacteriales; Nocardiaceae.
AGCCUGAGACGUGAUGCGUAGCCGAUUGAGGCGAAUUCAGUGAUCCUAUGCUGCCGAGAAAAGCCUCUAGCGAGCUUUCACACGGCCCGUACCCCAAACCGACACAGGUGGUCAGGUAGAGAAUACUAAGGCGAUCGAGAUAACUAUGGUUAAGGAACUCGGCAAAAUGCCCCCGUAACUUCGGGAGAAGGGGGGCCCUGUCUGGUGACGACAUUUACUGUCUGAGCUGGGUGGGGCCGCAGAGACCAGUGAGAAGCGACUGUUUACUAAAAACACAGGUCCGUGCGAAGUCGUAAGACGAUGUAUACGGACUGACGCCUGCCCGGUGCUGGAAGGUUAAGAGGACCGGUUAGUUCCUUCGGGAGCGAAGCUGAGAAUUUAAGCCCCAGUAAACGGCGGUGGUAACUAUAACCAUCCUAAGGUAGCGAAAUUCCUUGUCGGGUAAGUUCCGACCUGCACGAAUGGCGUAACGACUUCUCAGCUGUCUCAACCGUAGACUCGGCGAAAUUGCAUUACGAGUAAAGAUGCUCGUUACGCGCGGCAGGACGAAAAGACCCCGGGACCUUCACUACAGCUUGGUAUUGGUGUUCGGUUCGGUUUGUGUAGGAUAGGUGGGAGACUGUGAAACGGUGACGCCAGUUAUCGUGGAGUCGUUGUUGAAAUACCACUCUGAUCGAAUUGGACCUCUAACCUCGGACCAUGAUCUGGUUCAGGGACAGUGCCUGGUGGGUAGUUUAACUGGGGCGGUUGCCUCCCAAAAUGUAACGGAGGCGCCCAAAGGUUCCCUCAGCCUGGUUGGCAAUCAGGUGUCGAGUGCAAGUGCACAAGGGAGCUUGACUGUGAGACUGACAGGUCGAGCAGGGACGAAAGUCGGGACUAGUGAUCCGGCACCGGCAAGUGGAAGCGGUGUCGCUCAACGGAUAAAAGGUACCCCGGGGAUAACAGGCUGAUCUUCCCCAAGAGUCCAUAUCGACGGGAUGGUUUGGCACCUCGAUGUCGGCUCGUCGCAUCCUGGGGCUGGAGUAGGUCCCAAGGGUUGGGCUGUUCGCCCAUUAAAGCGGCACGCGAGCUGGGUUUAGAACGUCGUGAGACAGUUCGGUCUCUAUCCGCCGCGCGCGUUAGAAACUUGAGGAAGGCUGUCCCUAGUACGAGAGGACCGGGACGGACGAACCUCUGGUGUGCCAGUUGUUCCGCCAGGAGCACCGCUGGUUAGCUACGUUCGGAAGGGAUAACCGCUGAAAGCAUCUAAGCGGGAAGCCUGUUCCAAGAUGAGGUUUCUCACCCCCUCGAGGGGGUAAGGCCCCCGGCAGACCACCGGGUUGAUAGGCCAGAACUGGAAGUGCAGUAAUGCAUGCAGGUGACUGGUACUAAUAGGCCGAGGACUUACCACAA